GUGGGGAAUUUUGGACAAUGGGCGCAAGCCUGAUCCAGCAAUGCCGCGUGCAGGAAGAAUGCCUUCGGGUUGUAAACUGCUUUUGUACGGAACGAAACGGUCCUGGCUAAUACCCGGGGCUAAUUACGGUACCGUAAGAAUAAGCACCGGCUAACUACGUGCCAGCAGCCGCGGUAAUACGUAGGGUGCGAGCGUUAAUCGGAAUUACUGGGCGUAAAGCGUGCGCAGGCGGUGCUGUAAGACAGGCGUGAAAUCCCCGGGCUCAACCUGGGAAUUGCGCUUGUGACUGCAGUGCUGGAGUGCGGCAGAGGGGGAUGGAAUUCCGCGUGUAGCAGUGAAAUGCGUAGAUAUGCGGAGGAACACCGAUGGCGAAGGCAAUCCCCUGGGCCUGCACUGACGCUCAUGCACGAAAGCGUGGGGAGCAAACAGGAUUAGAAACCCCAGUAGUCC
This 450-nucleotide ribosomal RNA is filed under the name uncultured bacterium. RNAcentral's name for it is "partial 16S ribosomal RNA". It matches the Rfam family "Bacterial small subunit ribosomal RNA", at positions 354 to 796 of the family's 1533-position model. The record is from RNAcentral.